ACCGGAAAUUCCACUACCCUCUCCUAUACUCCAGUUCAGCAGUCUUAUCUGACCAACCGGUUAAGCCCAGGAAUUUCACAGAUAACUUACUAAACCACCUACGCACCCUUUACGCCCAGUAAUUCCGAUUAACGCUCGCACCCUCCGUAUUACCGCGGCUGCUGGCACGGAGUUAGCCGGUGCUUCUUCUCUGGGUAACGUCAGAACAGUCAGCUCUUAACCAACCAUUCCAUCCUCCCACCCGAAAGUGCUUUACAAGCCCUCAGGCCUUCUUCACACACGCGGCAUGUGCUGGAUCAGGGUUCCCCCCAUUGUCCAAUAUUGCCCCACUGCUGCCUGCCCGUAGGAGUCUGGGCCGUGUCUCAGUCCCAGUGUGGCUGAUCAUCCUCUCAGACCAGCUACCGAUCGUCGCCUUGGUAGGCCCUUACCCCACCAACUAGCUAAUCAGACGCAGGCUAAUCUCAAAGCGCCAGGCCUUACGGUCCCCAGCUUCACUCCUCAGAGCUUAUGCGGUAUUAGCCUGAGUUUCCCCAGGUUAUCCCCCUCUUUAAGGCAUAUUCCUACGCGUUACUCACCCGUUCGCCACUCGCCAUCAGUCCAGCAAGCUGGACCAUAUGGCC
RNAcentral lists this ribosomal RNA (620 nucleotides) under Legionella nautarum. RNAcentral describes it as "partial 16S ribosomal RNA". The record is from RNAcentral. Lineage: Bacteria; Pseudomonadati; Pseudomonadota; Gammaproteobacteria; Legionellales; Legionellaceae.